UACGUAGGUCCCGAGCGUUGUCCGGAUUUAUUGGGCGUAAAGCGAGCGCAGGUGGUUUAUUAAGUCUGGUGUAAAAGGCAGUGGCUCAACCAUUGUAUGCAUUGGAAACUGGUAGACUUGAGUGCAGGAGAGGAGAGUGGAAUUCCAUGUGUAGCGGUGAAAUGCGUAGAUAUAUGGAGGAACACCGGUGGUGAAAGCGGCUCUCUGGCCUGUAACUGACACUGAGGCUCGAAAGCGUGGGGAGCAAAUAGG
Molecule: ribosomal RNA, 252 nt
Filed under: uncultured bacterium
Lineage: Bacteria
Description: partial 16S ribosomal RNA
Rfam family: Bacterial small subunit ribosomal RNA
Source: RNAcentral